GACGUUAAUGCUCGGUCACUCCAACCCAUGUGAACGUUACCAAACUGUUGCCUCGGCGGGAUCUCUGCGGGGGGCGUCGCAGCCCCGGACCAAGGCGCCCGCCGGAGGACCAACCAAAACUCUUUUUGUAUACCCCCUCGCGGGUUUUUUAUAAUCUGAGCCUUCUCGGCGCCUCUCGUAGGCGUUUCGAAAAUGAAUCAAAACUUUCAACAACGGAUCUCUUGGUUCUGGCAUCGAUGAAGAACGCAGCGAAAUGCGAUAAGUAAUGUGAAUUGCAGAAUUCAGUGAAUCAUCGAAUCUUUGAACGCACAUUGCGCCCGCCAGUAUUCUGGCGGGCAUGCCUGUCCGAGCGUCAUUUCAACCCUCGAACCCCUCCGGGGGGUCGGCGUUGGGGAUCGGCCCUGCCUCUUGGCGGUGGCCGUCUCCGAAAUAUAGUUGCGGUCUCCCCCCAGCCUCUCCUGCGCAGUAGUUUGCACACUCGCAUCGGGAGCGCGGCGCGUCCACAGCCGUUAAACACCCAACUUCUGAAAUGUUGACCUCGGAUCAGGUAGGAAUACCCGCUGAACUUAAGCAUAUCAAUAAAGCGGAGGAACCA
Molecule: ribosomal RNA, 595 nt
Filed under: uncultured Trichoderma
Lineage: Eukaryota; Fungi; Ascomycota; Sordariomycetes; Hypocreales; Hypocreaceae
Description: eukaryotic LSU rRNA
Rfam family: 5.8S ribosomal RNA (bases 202-355)
Source: RNAcentral